CAGUAGCCACGGGAAUACGGAGGGUGCAAGCGUUACUCGGAAUCACUGGGCGUAAAGGACGCGUAGGCGGAUUAUCAAGUCUCUUGUGAAAUCUAACGGCUUAACCGUUAAACUGCUUGGGAAACUGAUAAUCUAGAGUAAGGGAGAGGCAGAUGGAAUUCUUGGUGUAGGGGUAAAAUCCGUAGAUAUCAAGAAGAAUACCUAUUGCGAAGGCGAUCUGCUGGAACUUAACUGACGCUAAUGCGUGAAAGCGUGGGGAGCAAACAGGAUUAGAUACCCCCGUAGUCCCUGUCUCUUAUAC
Molecule: ribosomal RNA, 301 nt
Filed under: uncultured bacterium
Lineage: Bacteria
Description: partial 16S ribosomal RNA
Rfam family: Bacterial small subunit ribosomal RNA
Source: RNAcentral